GUGAGGAAUAUUGGGCAAUGGGCGAAAGCCUGACCCAGCCACGCCGCGUGAGUGAUGAAGGCCUUCGGGUUGUAAAGUUCUUUAGCCGAUGAUUAUAAUGACUGUAGUCGGAAAAUAAGCCCCGGCUAACUUCGUGCCAGCAGCCGCGGUAAUACGAAGGGGGCGAGCGUUAUUCGGAAUCACUGGGCGUAAAGCGUGCGUAGGCGGUUUUGUAAGUUAGGAGUGAAAGCCCAGGGCUCAACCUUGGAAUUGCUCUUAAAACUGCAAGGCUCGAAUCUCGGAGAGGAUAGCGGAAUUUCCAGUGUAGCAGUGAAAUGCGUAGAUAUUGGAAGGAACACCAGUGGCGUAAGCGGCUAUCUGGACGAGUAUUGACGCUGAGGCACGAAAGCGUGGGGAUCAAACAGGAUUAGAAACCCCUGUAGUCC
This 425-nucleotide ribosomal RNA is filed under the name uncultured bacterium. RNAcentral's name for it is "bacterial SSU rRNA". It matches the Rfam family "Bacterial small subunit ribosomal RNA", at positions 354 to 796 of the family's 1533-position model. The record is from RNAcentral.